RNAcentral lists this ribosomal RNA (703 nucleotides) under uncultured organism. RNAcentral's name for it is "bacterial SSU rRNA". It matches the Rfam family "Bacterial small subunit ribosomal RNA", at positions 1 to 718 of the family's 1533-position model. The record is from RNAcentral.
UUAGAGUUUGAUCCUGGCUCAGGAUGAACGCUAGCGGCGGGCCUAAUACAUGCAAGUCGAGCGCCCCUUUCGGGGGGAGCGGCGGACGGGUGCGUAACGCGUAUGCAACUUGCCCUUCAGCGGGGGAUAACGUUCGGAAACGGGCGCUAAUACCGCGUGGAUUUGCGACCUCGCAUGGGGAUGCAAAUAAAGCCUUCGGGCACUGAGGGAUGGGCAUGCGUCAGAUUAGUUAGUUGGUGAGGUAACGGCUCACCAAGGCAACGAUCUGUAGCUGGUCUGAGAGGAUGAUCAGCCACACUGGCACUGAGACACGGGCCAGACUCCUACGGGAGGCAGCAGUAGGGAAUAUUGGUCAAUGGGCGAAAGCCUGAACCAGCCACGCCGCGUGCGGGAAGACGGCCCACAGGGUUGUAAACCGCUUUUUUCGCAGAAUAAGCUAGUAUUUGUUAUUAGUAGAAGGUAUGCGAAGAAUAAGCACCGGCAAACUACGUGCCAGCAGCCGCGGUAAUACGUAGGGUGCAAGCGUUGUCCGGAUUUACUGGGUUUAAAGGGUACGUAGGCGGCUGGCUAAGUCGGCGAUGAAAUACCGGAGCUUAACUCCGGUGCUGUUGCCGAUACUGGCGAGCUAGAGCGCGGAUGAGUUGCUGGAAUAGACGGUGUAGCGGUGAUAUGCGUAGAGAUCGUUCUGGAACAUCGAUUGCGA